This 243-nucleotide ribosomal RNA is filed under the name uncultured eukaryote. RNAcentral's name for it is "partial 18S ribosomal RNA". It matches the Rfam family "Eukaryotic small subunit ribosomal RNA", at positions 629 to 868 of the family's 1831-position model. The record is from RNAcentral.
CGUAGUUGGAUUUCUGGCCCAAUGCGCCUGGCCCGCGGCAGUAAUGCCUGUGAGUGCCGGUGCGCGUUGGCCAUCCUUCUAGAAAACGUCCCUACCGUUAACUCGGCCGGAUUCGUGAUCUAGAUCUUUUACUUUGAAAAAAUUAGAGUGUUCAAAGCAGGCCUAUGCUGUGAAUACAUUAGCAUGGAAUAAUAAUCUAGGACUUCGGUUCUAUUUUGUUGGUUUCUAGAAUUGAAGUAAUGA